GACGAACGCUGGCGGCGUGCUUAACAUAUGCAAGUCGAACGGAAAGGCCUGCUUUCCCUUGUGGAUUGCGGGUACUCGAGUGGCGAACGGGUGAGUAACACGUGAGUGAUCUGCCCCCAACUUGGGUAUAAGCCUGGGAAACUGGGUCUAAUUCCCGAUAGGACUGCAGGGUGGUGCCUGUGGUGGAAAACGAUUUUCUAGUGGUUGGGGAUGAGCUCGCGGCCUAUCAGCUUGUUGGUGGGGUAAUGGCCUACCAAGGCGGCGACGGGUAGCCGGCCUGAGAGGGUGGACGGCCACAUUGGGACUGCGAUACGGCCCAGACUCCUACGGGAGGCAGCAGUGGGGAAUAUUACACAAUGGGCGGAAGCCUGAUGCAGCGACGCCGCGUGGGGGAUGACGGCCUUCGGGUUGUAAACUCCUUUCGACCGCGAGGAAGCCACCUGGUUGGAAGGGUGGUGACGGUAGUGGUAGAAGAAGCACCGGCUAACUACGUG
This 494-nucleotide ribosomal RNA is filed under the name uncultured bacterium. RNAcentral describes it as "partial 16S ribosomal RNA". It matches the Rfam family "Bacterial small subunit ribosomal RNA", at positions 28 to 507 of the family's 1533-position model. The record is from RNAcentral.